AUUGAACGCUGGCGGCAGGCCUAACACAUGCAAGUCGAGCGAGCGGCGGAAGGGGGAGUAAUGUAUGGGGACUGCCCGAUAGAGGGGGAUAACUACUGGAAACGGUAGCGAAUACCGCAUACUAUCGGAUAACCCAUAUGGGAUUAGCUAGUAGGUGAGGUAAUGGCUCACCUAGGCGACGAUCCCUAGCUGGUCUGAGAGGAUGAUCAGCCACCCUGGGACUUAGACACGGCCCAGACUCCUACGGAGGCAGUAGUAGGGAAUAUUGCACAAUGGGCGCAAGCCUGAUGCAGCCAUGCCGCGUGUAUGAAGAAGGCCCUAGGGUUGUAAAGUACUUUUGGCAGAGAAGCGGUAUCUGCAGAAUAAGCACCGGCUAACUACGUGCCAGCAGCCGCGGUAAUAC
RNAcentral lists this ribosomal RNA (403 nucleotides) under uncultured bacterium. Its description in RNAcentral is "partial 16S ribosomal RNA". It matches the Rfam family "Bacterial small subunit ribosomal RNA", at positions 30 to 526 of the family's 1533-position model. The record is from RNAcentral.